UGUUUGUUGACAUUAGGGCGCCU
Molecule: non-coding RNA, 23 nt
Filed under: Mus musculus (house mouse)
Lineage: Eukaryota; Metazoa; Chordata; Mammalia; Rodentia; Muridae
Source: RNAcentral